GAGUUUGAUCAUGGCUCAGGAUGAACGCUGGCGGCGUGCCUAAUACAUGCAAGUCGAACGAACAGAUAAGGAGCUUGCUCCUUUGACGUUAGCGGCGGACGGGUGAGUAACACGUGGGUAACCUACCUAUAAGACUGGAAUAACUCCGGGAAACCGGGGCUAAUGCCGGAUAACAUGUUGAACCGCGUGGUUCUACAGUGAAAGACGGUCUUGCUGUCACUUAUAGAUGGACCCGCGCCGUAUUAGCUAGUUGGUGGGGUAACGGCCUACCAAGGCGACGAUACGUAGCCGACCUGAGAGGGUGAUCGGCCACACUGGAACUGAGACACGGUCCAGACUCCUACGGGAGGCAGCAGUAGGAAUCUUCCGCAAUGGGCGGAAGCCUGACGGAGCAACGCCGCGUGAGUGAUGAAGGUCUUCGGAUCGUAAAGCUCUGUUGUUA
Molecule: ribosomal RNA, 442 nt
Filed under: uncultured microorganism
Description: bacterial SSU rRNA
Rfam family: Bacterial small subunit ribosomal RNA
Source: RNAcentral